Long non-coding RNA from Daphnia pulex (common water flea), 432 nucleotides. RefSeq lists it as uncharacterized. NCBI's taxonomy places the organism in Eukaryota, Metazoa, Arthropoda, Branchiopoda, Diplostraca, Daphniidae. The transcript is spliced from 2 exons. The record is from RefSeq and is a predicted model, not a curated record.
GCGAUGGCAUUUUUUCCUCUUCAGUUUUUCUUUUGUUAUUUAUUUAUUUUUUUCUUUUAAACAAACCUUACUACUGUUGGUAUAUAUUCUGUAACCCCCUUUGUUGUACGUGUUAAGCUCACGUCUCGGCUCGAAUUUGUCUAUACCCUACUCCCCCCUUCUAGACUCGUAGCUGGCUCGUUUGACAUUUCCGAGAAAAACAAAAAAGUAUAUUCGUGUCAACCGACACGCAUCUCUUUGUGUUUAGAGUGUGACACCCUGAAAGGUAAAAGAACAAAAACUCCUUUUUCGUUUUCUUUUUUGGCAAAUAGCGAUUUGCCUGGGUUAUUUUUGUUUCCCGAGUGCGUCUGGUUGUGUGUGUGUGGCUUCAUUUAGAUUCUGAUUAAUCGAGAUCGAUGGUAUAGUCGAGAAAAAUAUGGUAGGGUCGUUAAA